This 164-nucleotide ribosomal RNA is filed under the name Oryza alta. Its description in RNAcentral is "5.8S ribosomal RNA". It matches the Rfam family "5.8S ribosomal RNA". Rfam says of the family: 5.8S ribosomal RNA (5.8S rRNA) is a component of the large subunit of the eukaryotic ribosome. The record is from RNAcentral. Lineage: Eukaryota; Viridiplantae; Streptophyta; Magnoliopsida; Poales; Poaceae.
CACACGACUCUCGGCAACGGAUAUCUCGGCUCUCGCAUCGAUGAAGAACGUAGCGAAAUGCGAUACCUGGUGUGAAUUGCGGAAUCCCGUGAACCAUCGAGUCUUUGAACGCAAGUUGCGCCCGAGGCCAUCCGGCCGAGGGCACGCCUGCCUGGGCGUCACGC